AUCCUUUUGUAGUUCAUAAGCAUGAUGAUUGGGUUUUCGUGCACAUGCGUGAGAUGUGCCUCCCUCAAUCCUUGUUAGGACAUCGGCACAUUACCCGUCUGACA
This 104-nucleotide small nucleolar RNA is filed under the name Propithecus coquereli (Coquerel's sifaka). RNAcentral describes it as "Small nucleolar RNA U13 (ENSPCOG00000011326.1)". It matches the Rfam family "Small nucleolar RNA U13". The record is from Rfam by way of RNAcentral. Lineage: Eukaryota; Metazoa; Chordata; Mammalia; Primates; Indriidae.